RNAcentral lists this ribosomal RNA (253 nucleotides) under uncultured bacterium. RNAcentral describes it as "partial 16S ribosomal RNA". It matches the Rfam family "Bacterial small subunit ribosomal RNA", at positions 524 to 776 of the family's 1533-position model. The record is from RNAcentral.
UACGUAGGCAGCAAGCGUUGUUCGGAGUUACUGGGCGUAAAGAGUGCGUAGGCGGUCCUGUAAGUUUGGUGUGAAAUCUCCCGGCUCAACUGGGAGGGUGCGCCGAAGACUGCAGGGCUUGAGUAUGGGAGAGGUAAGCGGAAUUCCUGGUGUAGCGGUGAAAUGCGUAGAUAUCAGGAGGAACACCGGUGGCGAAGGCGGCUUUCUGGACAGAUACCGACGCUGAGGCACGAAAGCUAGGGGAGCAAACAGG